AAAGGUGGCUAUAGCAUCGGGGAUCCACCUCUAACCAUUCCGAACAGAGCAGUUAAGCCCGAUCACGCCGAUGGUACUAUGCAAAUGGGAGAGUAGGUAGCCGCCACUU
This 109-nucleotide ribosomal RNA is filed under the name Porphyromonas canoris. Lineage: Bacteria; Pseudomonadati; Bacteroidota; Bacteroidia; Bacteroidales; Porphyromonadaceae. RNAcentral also lists the same sequence under 1 other name. The record is from RNAcentral.